This 711-nucleotide ribosomal RNA is filed under the name Salmonella enterica subsp. enterica serovar Ndolo. Its description in RNAcentral is "partial 23S ribosomal RNA". It matches the Rfam family "Bacterial large subunit ribosomal RNA", at positions 2211 to 2916 of the family's 2925-position model. The record is from RNAcentral. Lineage: Bacteria; Pseudomonadati; Pseudomonadota; Gammaproteobacteria; Enterobacterales; Enterobacteriaceae.
UGUUUGAUGUUCUAACGUGGACCCGUAAUCCGGGUUGCGGACAGUGUCUGGUGGGUAGUUUGACUGGGGCGGUCUCCUCCUAAAGAGUAACGGAGGAGCACGAAGGUUGGCUAAUCCUGGUCGGACAUCAGGAGGUUAGUGCAAUGGCAUAAGCCAGCUUGACUGCGAGCGUGACGGCGCGAGCAGGUGCGAAAGCAGGUCAUAGUGAUCCGGUGGUUCUGAAUGGAAGGGCCAUCGCUCAACGGAUAAAAGGUACUCCGGGGAUAACAGGCUGAUACCGCCCAAGAGUUCAUAUCGACGGCGGUGUUUGGCACCUCGAUGUCGGCUCAUCACAUCCUGGGGCUGAAGUAGGUCCCAAGGGUAUGGCUGUUCGCCAUUUAAAGUGGUACGCGAGCUGGGUUUAGAACGUCGUGAGACAGUUCGGUCCCUAUCUGCCGUGGGCGCUGGAGAACUGAGGGGGGCUGCUCCUAGUACGAGAGGACCGGAGUGGACGCAUCACUGGUGUUCGGGUUGUCAUGCCAAUGGCACUGCCCGGUAGCUAAAUGCGGAAGAGAUAAGUGCUGAAAGCAUCUAAGCACGAAACUUGCCCCGAGAUGAGUUCUCCCUGAGACUACGAGUCUCCUGAAGGAACGUUGAAGACGACGACGUUGAUAGGCCGGGUGUGUAAGCGCAGCGAUGCGUUGAGCUAACCGGUACUAAUGAACCGUGAGG